UGCCAGCCGCCGCGGUAAUACGAAGGGUGCUAGCGUUGUUCGGAAUUACUGGGCGUAAGGCGUACGUAGGCGGAUCAGAAAGUAUAGGGUGAAAUCCCGGGGCUCAACCUGGGAAUUGCAUUCGAUACUGCUUAGCUAGAGUAUGAGAGAGGGUAGUGGAAUUCCGGGUGUAGCGGUGAAAUGCGUAGAUAUUCGGAGGAACACCAGUGGCGAAGGCGGCUUUCUGGACCGAUACUGACGCUGAGACGCGAAAGCGUGGGGAGCAAACAGGAUUAGAUA
RNAcentral lists this ribosomal RNA (279 nucleotides) under uncultured bacterium. Its description in RNAcentral is "partial 16S ribosomal RNA". It matches the Rfam family "Bacterial small subunit ribosomal RNA", at positions 506 to 784 of the family's 1533-position model. The record is from RNAcentral.